RNAcentral lists this ribosomal RNA (497 nucleotides) under uncultured bacterium. RNAcentral's name for it is "partial 16S ribosomal RNA". It matches the Rfam family "Bacterial small subunit ribosomal RNA", at positions 28 to 507 of the family's 1533-position model. The record is from RNAcentral.
GAUGAACGCUGGCGGCGUGCCUAAUACAUGCAAGUCGAGCGAACGGACGAGAAGCUUGCUUCUCUGAUGUUAGCGGCGGACGGGUGAGUAACACGUGGAUAACCUACCUAUAAGACUGGGAUAACUUCGGGAAACCGGAGCUAAUACCGGAUAAUAUUUUGAACCGCAUGGUUCAAAAGUAAAAGACGGUCUUGCUGUCACUUAUAGAUGGAUCCGCGCUGCAUUAGCUAGUUGGUAAGGUAACGGCUUACCAAGGCAACGAUGCAUAGCCGACCUGAGAGGGUGAUCGGCCAGACUGGAAGUGAGAAACGGCCCAGACUCCGACGGGAGGCAGCAGUAGGGAAUCUUCCGCAAUGGGCGAAAGCCUGACGGAGCAACGCCGCGUGAGUGAUGAAGGUCUACGGAUCGUAGAACUCUGUUAGUAGGGAAGAACAUAUGUGUAAGUAACUGUGCACAUAUUGACGGUACCGAAACAGAAAGCCACGGCUAACUACGUG